RNAcentral lists this ribosomal RNA (568 nucleotides) under uncultured bacterium. RNAcentral's name for it is "bacterial SSU rRNA". It matches the Rfam family "Bacterial small subunit ribosomal RNA", at positions 28 to 578 of the family's 1533-position model. The record is from RNAcentral.
GACGAACGCUGGCGGCGUGCCUAAUACAUGCAAGUCGAGCGGAUGAGAAAGGAGCUUGCUCCUUUCGAUUCAACGGCGGACGGGUGAGUAACACGUGGGCAACCUGCCUGUAAGACUGGGAUAACUCCGGGAAACCGGGGCUAAUACCGGAUAACUCAUGAGACUGCAUAGUCUGAUGAUAAAAGAUGGUUUUGCUAUCACUUACAGAUGGGCCCGCGGCGCAUUAGCUAGUUGGUGAGGUAACGGCUCACCAAGGCGACGAUGCGUAGCCGACCUGAGAGGGUGAUCGGCCACACUGGGACUGAGACACGGCCCAGACUCCUACGGGAGGCAGCAGUAGGGAAUCUUCCGCAAUGGACGAAAGUCUGACGGAGCAACGCCGCGUGAGCGAUGAAGGCCUUCGGGUCGUAAAGCUCUGUUGUUAGGGAAGAACAAGUAUGAGUUAACUGCUCAUACCGUGACGGUACCUAACGAGAAAGCCACCGCUAACUACGUGCCAGCCAGCCGCGGUAAUACGUAAGUGGCAAGCGUUGUCCGGAUUUAUUGGGCGUAAAGCGCGCGCAGGCGG